UGGGGAAUCUUCCGCAAUGGACGAAAGUCUGACGGAGCAACGCCGCGUGAGUGAUGACGGCCUUCGGGUUGUAAAGCUCUGUUAAUCGGGACGAAAGGCCUUCUUGCGAAUAGUGAGAAGGAUUGACGGUACCGGAAUAGAAAGCCACGGCUAACUACGUGCCAGCAGCCGCGGUAAUACGUAGGUGGCAAGCGUUGUCCGGAAUUAUUGGGCGUAAAGCGCGCGCAGGCGGAUAGGUCAGUCUGUCUUAAAAGUUCGGGGCUUAACCCCGUGAUGGGAUGGAAACUGCCAAUCUAGAGUAUCGGAGAGGAAAGUGGAAUUCCUAGUGUAGCGGUGAAAUGCGUAGAUAUUAGGAAGAACACCAGUGGCGAAGGCGACUUUCUGGACGAAAACUGACGCUGAGGCGCGAAAGCCAGGGGAGCGAACGGGAUUAGAUACCCCGGUAGUCCUGGCCGCAAACGAUGGGUACUAGGUGUAGGAGGUAUCGACCCCUUCUGUGCCGGAGUUAACGCAAUAAGUACCCCGCCUGGGGAGUACGACCGCAAGGUUG
Molecule: ribosomal RNA, 550 nt
Filed under: uncultured bacterium
Lineage: Bacteria
Description: bacterial SSU rRNA
Rfam family: Bacterial small subunit ribosomal RNA
Source: RNAcentral